This 253-nucleotide ribosomal RNA is filed under the name uncultured bacterium. RNAcentral's name for it is "partial 16S ribosomal RNA". It matches the Rfam family "Bacterial small subunit ribosomal RNA", at positions 524 to 776 of the family's 1533-position model. The record is from RNAcentral.
UACGUAGGGUGCGAGCGUUGUCCGGAAUUAUUGGGCGUAAAGGGCUCGUAGGCGGUUUGUCGCGUCGGGAGUGAAAAUCCAGGGCUUAACUCUGGACUGGCUUCCGAUACGGGCAGACUAGAGGUAUGCAGGGGAGAACGGAAUUCCUGGUGUAGCGGUGAAAUGCGCAGAUAUCGGGAGGAACACCUGUGGCGAAGGCGGCUUUCUGGGCCUUACCUGACGCUGAGACGCGAAAGCGUGGGGAGCGAACCGG